RNAcentral lists this ribosomal RNA (265 nucleotides) under uncultured archaeon. RNAcentral describes it as "partial 16S ribosomal RNA". It matches the Rfam family "Archaeal small subunit ribosomal RNA", at positions 719 to 982 of the family's 1478-position model. The record is from RNAcentral.
AGUCACUGACAUUAGAUACCCGGGUAGUCCCAGCCGUAAACUAUGCUCGCUAGGUGUCAGGCAUGGCGCGACCGUGUCUGGUGCCGCAGGGAAGCCGUGAAGCGAGCCACCUGGGAAGUACGGCCGCAAGGCUGAAACUUAAAGGAAUUGGCGGGGGAGCACAACAACGGGUGGAGCCUGCGGUUUAAUUGGACUCAACGCCGGACAACUCACCGGGGACGACAGCAAUAUGUAGGCCAGGCUGAAGACCUUGCCUGAAUCGCUG